GUAAGUUGUAGAGAUCCAUCCAUCAUGGAUCUUAGCAAGCUAGUGGGAGCUAUAAGCAUCUUAUGAGAGAAGAUCAAAUCGUUUGAUUUCUCAUAAAGAUGUGAAUGAAUCUUUUGUUUACUAGGUUUACAAAAGAUUAGUGGGAGUUAAUCAUAUUCCUAAAUUUAAAUAUAUAUAUAUAUAUAUAUAUACACACACACACAUAUAUGAUAUAUUAAUUUUGGAAAUGAAAAGAAUACUUCUUCGUUAAAGUUAUGACUUUAAACAUUUUAUAACGAUAGAAUGUAUAUGGGAGAUAUAGUCUAAAUACAUGGGAUAGAAAUCUAUAAUGAUAUAUUUCAAGAUAUAAUUCGAUUAUAUCAAUCCCUAAUAAUAGACAAGAGAUGCUAGGAAGUUUCUCAUAUGAUGAUAAACUUCAAUUAGAAGGACGACUCUAGUGAGACUAGCAAGUUGCCCUUCUCAAAGGGAACGUACACUUUGACUCCCAAAGAAAUAAUGCGUAAAUAGAAUCCUUUAUGCAUACGCAGAAAGGUGAUUUAUGUAUUUCAUAUUGUAUGAAAACAUUGAUAUGAGUUGUACCUAGAAAGGUAUAAGACGAUAUCAGUGCAAGCCCAGGAUCAGAACCACGACAACUAUCAAGUGACUCCUUAAGUAUUUGAGAAAUACUAAAGGAUAAAUUCCUCAAAGAAUGAGGAAGAAUUAGAGUAACGUAAAGGAAGCGUAAAUGUAUUAGAUUAUGAAUCUAAUCCAUCAUUGGAUGUUUCUUCAUUAUGAAUGAAGAGAUAAUCAGCUAUCUCUUUAUUAUGACUAAAGAGAUAUUUGGAUGGAAACAUUAAAAGUAAUGACUUUAGUGUGUUCCAUUAUGAAUGCAAAUAUAUUGCCAUAUAGAAGCUUACAAACAAUGUUGUUUGGAUGGGAAAGUUAUUCAUGAACUCUCUAUUCGGUUCCAACCAGAAAGUGUCUCUAGUGUACCGACACUACGACACUAAUGGGGCGAUAGUUCAAGCCAGGGAAUCAAGGUCUCAUCAAGAUCCGAACUCAAAUGAGAGACUGAACCACAUGAUUGAGAAUCAUGUAUAAUGGUGACGUCGUUAUUCUCAAGGUUGCUUCUAUGGAUAACAUAUAGAUAUCCAUUGUCUAGGCCUACUACUCAGCCAUUUUUGAAAUGACUAAAGAAGAGGUAUCAUCACUGAUGACCAAGCUGAUUGGCUCUAGUGCAAGUGGGAGAUUGUUGGAAAUGUGCCCUAAAACCAAUCAUGUGAUGAUAUUUUACGGACAUUUCACAUGUUAAACUAAUCUAGUUUAAUAUCAAGGGCAAAGAUUAUUGUUUUAAGCCGUCUCAUAUAAAUGUUAUAUGCUUAAACGAUAAGUCCAAGGAAUAUGUAAUUAGGAGAAUGUAAUUUAAACAAGUUAGAUUUAUGAGACCAUUCUCUUUCGUAUACAUAUCCUAAACGUUCAUGAUCAUAGGAUUGCCAAUUGGGCAUUGACAGUCCGUUAAGAUCAGUAUGUGCUAUGUCUUCUCUUAGUGAGAGUGACUGGUCUCGAGUCAUUGGUGUGACUGACACCAAGAUAAGUACGUAGGUGCUCAAUAAGGAAUGAGUUCACUGAACACGAUCAACGAAGAGUUCUCAUACUCAUGUCACAUAAGAACUCAUGGUUGGGAUAAUGCAAAGUAGUCCUUUGACCUGAGGCAUCAUAGUUGUUUUGUGGUUAGGUCCUUGAUCUUUGAUUAUGUCAAAGUCACUCCAUUCGCGGGUGUCCACGGCAUAGUUGGGGUUAAGCCACUUAGCCAUGGAGGCAAGUGAAUACGCAACAAGGGAUCUCUAACCUUCAAACCGUUUGAGGGAGAAUACUCUAUGAUAUGAUUAAGAAUCUCUGGCCAGAGUAUAAAUGAGAUUUAGGAAGUCGUUCCAAAUCACAUUCAAAGUAAUCAUAUAAGUAAAAUGAAUCACAUUGGAUAGUAGACAUGAAUAAACUAUCAAACCAAACAAUGUGGUCAAGAGUAUUGUAUUAGAGAAAGACUGUAUUGCAUUGUAAUCCUAAACUGAAUAGGUUCUCCACCUCUUCUGAUUAGCUUGGGUAACCAUGACAUACUGCUAGGUGUCACUGGUUUGUGGAAGCCCUAGACGUGUAUAAUCACUAAAGGGAGAAUUGAAAGUAAGUUUCAAUUCACAAUCGAUUUGAAAGAGUUCUAAUCACCCAUUGCCUCGCUAAAAGGAACCUAAUGGAUCGUACACCGUGUAAGGUAGAGAUUGAAGAAACAAAGGAGAUGAGUAAGAAUAAUUAAAUGGUUUAAUUAUUUAUUUAUGGCAAGGAUUAAUUAAUAUGUUAAUUAAUCAAACGAAUAAAGUUCGUUAAAAGACCACGGGUUAGUUUUGGGCCUUAAGGCCCAAUGGGCUUCGAACGUCAAGCCCAUUAACUUAAGUUGUAUGACAACUUAAUUCACAAAGGCCCAAAAAGCCCAAUAGAACCCUAUGGCCGGCCAUUUAGAGGAAGGGUAGUGAACUUGCUUUAAUUACAAGUUUGCCACUCCAAUGAAUAAAGGUAUAAAUAUGACUUUAUAACCAAAAUUCAUUUAGGGGUUUCUUUUAGAGAAUUGGAGAGAACAUAUCUCUCUCUUUUCUCUCUAAGAGGUUGGCCCCCUUGGAGGGAUUAGCUAGUAAUCUUUCUCCUCCAAGGUCACUCAUCUCUUCUUC
RNAcentral lists this long non-coding RNA (2696 nucleotides) under Malus domestica (apple). Its description in RNAcentral is "long non-coding RNA (MDOM_LNC001657)". The record is from RNAcentral. Lineage: Eukaryota; Viridiplantae; Streptophyta; Magnoliopsida; Rosales; Rosaceae.